AUUGAACGCUGGCGGCAUGCUUUACACAUGCAAGUCGAACGGUAACAGGCCUUCGGGUGCUGACGAGUGGCGGACGGGUGAGUAAUGCAUCGGAACGUGCCCAGAGGUGGGGGAUAACGCAGCGAAAGCUGUGCUAAUACCGCAUGUGAUCUGAGGAUGAGAGCGGGGGACCAGGCAGCAAUGUUUGGCCUCGCGCCUUUGUAGCGGCCGAUGUCGGAUUAGGUAGUUGGGGGGGUAAAGGCCUACCAAGCCGACGAUCUGUAGCUGGUCUGAGAGGACGACCAGCCACACUGGGACUGAGACACGGUCCAGACUCCUACGGGAGGCAGCAGUGGGGAAUUUUGGACAAUGGGCGCAAGCCUGAUCCAGCAAUGCCGCGUGAGGGAAGAAGGCCUUCGGGUUGUAAACCGCUUUUGUACGGAACGAAAAGGCUCUGGCUAAUACCUGGGGCUGAUGACGGUACCGUAAGAAUAAGCACCGGCUAACUACGUG
RNAcentral lists this ribosomal RNA (492 nucleotides) under uncultured bacterium. Its description in RNAcentral is "partial 16S ribosomal RNA". It matches the Rfam family "Bacterial small subunit ribosomal RNA", at positions 30 to 507 of the family's 1533-position model. The record is from RNAcentral.